RNAcentral lists this unclassified non-coding RNA (316 nucleotides) under uncultured Entrophospora. Its description in RNAcentral is "uncultured Claroideoglomus sequence contains ITS2". The stretch from base 1 to 52 matches the Rfam family "5.8S ribosomal RNA", at positions 103 to 154 of the family's 154-position model. The record is from RNAcentral. Lineage: Eukaryota; Fungi; Glomeromycota; Glomeromycetes; Entrophosporales; Entrophosporaceae.
AACGCAUAUUGCACUCUCUGGUAUUCCGGGGAGUAUGCCUGUUUGAGGGUCAGUAAAUAAUAAUUAUCAUAAUCUUUUGAUUGUGGAAUUGGGUCUUUAUUUCAUUAAUGAUUUAUGGCCUCAAAUUUACGUUUACCGCUUGUUUAAUAUGAAAUUCGACCGAAUGGAGCAAUUAAACAUUCUCUCGUUAGGCGGAUUCAUCAAGCAAUUACGAUUUUUUGGCCGUCGAAGCACUUUUUUUAAAAGUGCUUGGUCAAGAUUGUAAGAUACAUUUAACAAUGACCUCAAAUCAGGCAAGAAUACCCGCUGAACUUAA